UGGUUUUCACAUGAUCUCAUCCUUGGGGUCUCAAUCUUCUGUGAUGCUUCCCAUUUCUCAGCUAAACCAUCGCCUUCUAACAUCUUUAGUACUUCAGACAUCUUUGGGCGGUGGGAAGGAUUAAAUUGAGUACAUAAAAGAGCAACUUGAACCAUUUCUUCCAAUUCAAUCCUGUCAAAAUUUCCCUUAAGAUCCUUAUCCACUAGUAGAUUUAACUUGCCCUCUUGAUGGAGCUUCUUCACCGAAUCAAGCAUGACACCCUUCUGGUUAGCUGCUCUUCCAAAAUCCAUAGCCUUCUGACCUGUGAU
Molecule: unclassified non-coding RNA, 308 nt
Filed under: Hevea brasiliensis (rubber tree)
Lineage: Eukaryota; Viridiplantae; Streptophyta; Magnoliopsida; Malpighiales; Euphorbiaceae
Source: RNAcentral